AAUUUCUGAGCUAAUCAGCCUGCCUCACACUAAUUACCAUCCUCCCGGGCAUUAGGGCGACUUCCUGGGCAGGGGAAGGGAGGCCAGUUCCUGGGACGGACACCCCUUCCGUGAACUCAGAGGGGCCAGGAGCAGCAGGGUGGUGGUAAAGGGGCUGACCAGGAGGCUUGGGCAGGUGGGCUAGCAAGGUGGGGCUCACGGACGUGGGCAGAAGCAGGAGACAGUCCACCGAGCACCAGCGGGGCACAUGGCAAGGUCCAGAGGUGGCAGCAGCCCAUGGGCACUGGGCUUAAACCAGGACUUGAAGCAGCUCCGCAGCACCCAGUGAACGAGCGCGUCACAGCAGGCAGGGAAUGGCCAGGGAUCUCAACUGCUGCCAUCCAAGUCCCCAGGGGAUUCAGGGCCUCCUGGACCCCCUCCACCCUCCCCUUCCCCACAUCCCUCCCAGGCAGAAGCCCCAUCCAGAGGGGCUCCGCCCUAAUACAUUCAGCCAACAGUCAAAGGGGAACCCGGAUGUCCAUACCCGACAAGCCGCCCAACACAGGGCAGCCCAUGGGGCAGCCGGUGCUCAUCGGAACCGUGCACCAUUGGUGAACACACAAAGAAUGCCAAGAGCCCAGUCAUCUGCACAGGACCACGGCCAAUAAGGGAAGCCCACACUGAGGAUCAGAACUCGGUCCCACUGGGCCCUGAGGAGAGAAACCCAGAGAACUUGUGCCAGCUCCCCAGCUUCAAAGGGGGGCUUUAUGCCCGAAAUUCCUUGGCACGGACACCCCACACAGGGCAAAGUCACCGGAUCCCCCUGCGGCCACACACUCGCCCCAGAGCUGUCAGGAGGAGGUGCGUGCAGAUGGCGACAGGGAGACACAGGGAGACGAGCAGAGCUGGCGCCAGCCAGGCCCUCGGGUGACCCUGCUCAGAAUGUGAAAGC
Molecule: long non-coding RNA, 931 nt
Filed under: Heterocephalus glaber (naked mole-rat)
Lineage: Eukaryota; Metazoa; Chordata; Mammalia; Rodentia; Bathyergidae
Description: lncRNA (ENSHGLG00000034532.1)
Source: RNAcentral